RNAcentral lists this ribosomal RNA (446 nucleotides) under uncultured bacterium. Its description in RNAcentral is "partial 16S ribosomal RNA". It matches the Rfam family "Bacterial small subunit ribosomal RNA", at positions 338 to 795 of the family's 1533-position model. The record is from RNAcentral.
CCUACGGGCGGCAGCAGUCGAGAAUCAUUCACAAUGGGGGACACCCUGAUGGUGCGACGCCGCGUGGGGGAAUGAAGGUCUUCGGAUUGUAAACCCCUGUCAUGUGGGAGCAAAUUAAAAAGAUAGUACCACAAGAGGAAGAGACGGCUAACUCUGUGCCAGCAGCCGCGGUAAUACAGAGGUCUCAAGCGUUGUUCGGAAUCACUGGGCGUAAGGCGUGCGUAGGCUGUUUCGUAAGUCGUGUGUGAAAGGCGCGGGCUCAACCCGCGGACGGCACAUGAUACUGCGAGACUAGAGUAAUGGAGGGGGAACCGGAAUUCUCGGUGUAGCAGUGAAAUGCGUAGAUAUCGAGAGGAACACUCGUGGCGAAGGCGGGUUCCUGGACAUUAACUGACGCUGAGGCACGAAGGCCAGGGGAGCGAAAGGGAUUAGAUACCCUUGUAGUC